UUUUAUGAUGAUUCACUUCAAUUUAUCACGACGGUCAACGUAAGGAUUUAAAAUUGACGACCACCGCCUGUGACAAGGCUUUAAUCUGAAA
This is a small nucleolar RNA of Penicillium coprophilum, 91 nucleotides long. It matches the Rfam family "Small nucleolar RNA snR73". Lineage: Eukaryota; Fungi; Ascomycota; Eurotiomycetes; Eurotiales; Aspergillaceae. The record is from Rfam.